Vicia villosa (hairy vetch) is the source of this 1324-nucleotide long non-coding RNA. RefSeq lists it as uncharacterized. The transcript has 5 exons. Lineage: Eukaryota; Viridiplantae; Streptophyta; Magnoliopsida; Fabales; Fabaceae. The record is from RefSeq and is a predicted model, not a curated record.
UGCGACACACCAGCUUUCCAAUGAAGCUUCUUUUUCUUCCCCUGGCUCAGACGAUCGGCGCGCGGCGGGCUCCAUCUCUUCCGAUCGAACUCAUCGACACAGCCGCGAGAGAUUUCCCCUCAGCCUCACAUCUCGUCUCUUUUCUCCGACGAAACUCUCAAUCUCUCUCGACUCAAACAUUCGCCGCGGAGGCUGGAGGAAUCAACCUUCUCCGACGAAGACUCGGCCUACGUUGCCGUGAAACCAAGGACGAAGCAAUGCUUCACUUCUGCGGCCUUUUUCUGAUUUGUUUCCGUUGUAGCAAUUCCUAAUGCGGAUGAUGCUACGUUAUUGUUGCUGUGUACAACGAUGAGGAUGAACGAAGCAUUGAUGUGUGAGGUUGAGGCUGCUGAAGUUAGGAAGCGGAUUGAAGUGUGAAGAUGGAAAGUAAUUGCAUCUUUUAUGAUUGAAACGAUGACGAAGAUGAUGAUGAUUCAAAGUUACCGAUGAUCUCGCGGUUGCUGAAGAUCGUUGUCGCUUGCAGUGAAGAGGAUGUGAGGAUUGAUGAGGCAUACGAUUUGCAAUGGAGUGAGGAUUUUCCUUGGAGAAUUCUGAUAUCAGGAUUUUGGAAGAUGAAUGAAGUGUUUGAAGAUAAGUUUGAGGAAUGGUGAAGACCGGAUUUAAUGAAUUCUCAAGAGUGAAGAGGAAGAGAGAAAGAAGAAGUUGUUAAAUUGUGGAGAAUGAAGGUCAAGGAGAUUGAAGAGAGUAUGGUGAGGUUGUGGAUUGAAGAAGUGAUGGAAGAAGGUGAAGGAGAUUGAAGUUGAAGAAGAUGGAUUGUGAGAGAGUGAAGGAAGAGAAUUGAAGAAUGUGGAGAAAGAGAUCGAAAGAUAAAAAUUCAAGAAGUUGGUUCCGGUUCAGUUUUUUGAAGAGAUCGAAAGAUAAAAAUUCAAGAAGUUUGUUCCGGUUCAGUUUUUUGAGAAUUUUGGUUUUCUGUUAGUUGGCUAUUGUUAGGACAGUUGGGAAAUUUGAAUGUGGUAUGGUUGGUUUGGCAUGAGAAUGAACAUGAGUUUUGCAUGAUGGAAUGAAGAUGAAAUCUGGAGGAAAAAUAGGAUCUUGGCAUAAUUUAGUUUUUUGUUUUGGCAUGCUUGGAGAAGAAGAUGACUAGUUUAGGAAUUAGGGCCCUUGGUAGACUUUGUAUAAGUUUGUAUGGAUUGUAAUGAAGUGUAAUGGAUGAUGGAUUUUUGUAAUGACAAUUGAAUUUGUAGCGGGACAUAGCUUGUAACAGACUAUCUUUCCCUUUUUUAUGAAUGGGAUUGAAUUAACGGGAUGAACGGAAUUGAUGUAA